AAGACGGGGCAAGUCUUGGCCAAUCUGGAGCUGGUGCCCAACAAGUCUCUCAAGAACCUCAUCUCCAAGUGGUGCCGGGAGAACGGCGUAGCCAUGGAAGUCUGCGAGGCCAGCAAGAGCGAGCAGGCCCAGGCGGUGGCCGCCAACAAGGCGGCGCUCGAGGUGGCGCGCAUGACGGCGUCGUUUCUGGUGAAGAAGCUCUCCGUCUCAUUCUCCCCUGACGCGGCCAACCGCGUGGUGCACGAGAUCCGGCUGCUCUCCAAGUCCGGCUCGGACAACCGCGCGUUCGUCGGAGAGGCCGGAGCCGCGCCGAUGCUGGCCAACAAGAAGCGCAUCAUGCACGCCGAUGGCGCCAUCGAGGCAGUGACCCACAUCAUGAGCUCCGGCACGACGUGGCGCGCCAAGGAGAACGCCGCGACGGCCUUGCUCAGCCUGGCGUCCGUCCAUACGUGCCGCCGAGCCUUCCGUCGUGGAAAAGUUAGUCCACCUCGUGCGCACGGGCCCGACGAGCACAAAGAAGGACGCGCUGGCCGCGCUGCUGUCGCUGGCAGGCGAGAGGGAGAACGUCGGGAAGCUGGUGGAAGCUCGUGCGAGAAGCGAGCAACGGCAGCCUGCGGCGUAAGGGAGCAGCAGGAAAUAGGUGGCGCAAACGAGAUCGGGAGCAGCAAAUCCAUGCAGCCAACUCUCAAGGUCCUCCUCGUCGUGGGGAUCCUCAAUCUAACGCCGUUCUGUACCUCUGCCUGA
This 744-nucleotide ribosomal RNA is filed under the name Triticum aestivum (bread wheat). RNAcentral describes it as "partial small subunit ribosomal RNA". Lineage: Eukaryota; Viridiplantae; Streptophyta; Magnoliopsida; Poales; Poaceae. The record is from RNAcentral.